This is a long non-coding RNA of Marmota monax (woodchuck), 2062 nucleotides long. RefSeq lists it as uncharacterized. The transcript has 3 exons. The record is from RefSeq and is a predicted model, not a curated record. NCBI's taxonomy places the organism in Eukaryota, Metazoa, Chordata, Mammalia, Rodentia, Sciuridae.
CCCCACCCCUCGCCGAAGCCCGCCCCUGAGGGCGCCGCCCGGAGUCCCGCUCCCCUAGCGUCAUUUCUGACGCCGCGAGGAGCCCCGAAUCUCGGCCCCCGUUGGCCCCGCCCCUCGGCCAAGUCCCGCCCCCAACAAGCCUCUCCCAAAGCCCAAGAGCCCCUCCCAGGCCGCGAGCCUCCGAGUCUUUGGCCACGCCCCGACGGCCCCGCCUGCUUGCCGGGUUGAGAUCCUGGAGGCCUGGGUGCUGCCAGUCUCCUGCCUUUCAGCUCCGCCCCGGACUACCGCACUUACCUUUGACUUGAGGAAACUGAGACUCAGAGAAGACAAGAUUUACCCACGGUCAAGCAGGAGGUCAGUCCAGGGGCAAAAGUCCAGUGGGCAUCCAGUAGCCCCCAGAGGUCAACCAAAGCCCAAAGGAUGGAGCAGGCCCUGUCUGCACUGAGAUCGCUGAAACCCCAGAUGAGCUUUCCCUCCUUACAACUGUUCUUGUCCGGUCUUUUGAUCACAACAGCAAAACAGCUGACUAAACAAUAAGUAAGUGGAGAAGAGCGAGGUGGCCUCCAGGCAGAAGUGGUGCUCAGGCCCUGCAGGAAGCAAGAUAGGCGUGUCCAGGAAACCACAGGCAACAUGGUGGCACUGGCCAGGCUCAGCAAUUACACAGAACACAGGAGCAUGCGGGUCCCCACCCCAGUGCCUUGGUUUCCUCCUCUGCACAAGAAGGGCACAAUGACGCGUACACUCUGAGCUCUCAGCCUGGGGCAAGGAAGGGGCACAACAUGGUCCACGGUCACCUUGACAGCGCCAGGACACGGGCACUACCUGAUCCUUGCCAGGCAAGGGAGCUGAGGCAUGGAGCGCUCAUCAUGCGACCUAAGGCCACAGGGCUGGGAACAAGCACUUUGCUGCCUCAGGAGACACAGGUGGGACAGAGAGCAGCUCCAAGCCAAGCACAGAAGGCACUAGAGAAGCCAGAACGCCCCGUGCAGGGCAGGAGGUGCUCGGAGAAUGAUGGGACAUAUCAGAAGAACUCGGCGCCGUCAGCACACUCCUCCCAAAGGACAACGGAGCCCACGGGAAGCGUGAGGAAAAGGAGGGACAAAUGGCAGCCCCAGAAAGCAGGAGGUGGGACAGGAGAUUGGGGACAGCCUUCUCUCUACUUUUGUGUACUCGUGAUAUUUUGUCAUGAUGCACGUUCUGGAACAGAAUAUCCUACGAGUUCAAAGUGAUACUAAAGUAACACAAUGAAAAGGAAGGAAGGAUUAAAAAAAAAUAAUAAAAUAAAAUCUCACGGUUGCUCUCCUCGAGAUACAGCACAAUCACACUCAACAAAGGCAGAAUCCAGCAGGGUCACCCCUGGACGCGGAGCCCACGCGCCUCAGCCCCUACAUCAUGCCUGGAUGAUAGAGGGAUGUGGGGGACUCGCCUCAGCCAAGAGACCCUAGUCUCGUUCCCCACGAGGGCAGCCUGGCCCUGUCAGCACACGUAGCGUCCAGGCCACAAGUGCAAACCCUGCAGCGGGGUGUGAAACACCAGAGGGAUGCAGAUGGGUGGUCUCGAGACCUCAGAAGUCCACACCACAUGGGAGAAAAAGCCUGUCCCAGUUUAAGGAGCCCAGAGAGCUGGCGGCCAAGUGCUGUAUGUGAUCCUGGAGCUCAGGACGGUGCCUGAAUGCCAACAGCCAGGUGUGGACGCCCUCUACCUAGCAGAGGUCAGGGCCAGCGUUCUGGAGUCAGGAAAGGAAAUGGACUUGUACUGGUUCAGAGAAAAAAAGAGUGUGAUGUGUACUGAGAGAGAAAGAAAGGGAAGGGAGGGGAAGGGAGGUGGAGGGAGGUGGAGAGAGGAGUAGCACAGCGCAGAGCCCUACGAGCGUCUGCAAUCCUGGAGGUCUGAAUUCUCAAGAGACGCAGUGUGGGGGGGCAGUUAUGAGCACCUGCAGGCCCCAGCUGCUACAGAGGACUAGAAUGACCCCAGCCUCUUGUUUUAGGGUUGGGAGCUGAGGCCCGGGACCUGCACCCCCUACCCGCCCCAUGCCUAUGGACCCAGGCCACCCACGUGGUGA